Cornus florida is the source of this 890-nucleotide long non-coding RNA. RefSeq lists it as uncharacterized. The transcript has 3 exons. The record is from RefSeq and is a predicted model, not a curated record. NCBI's taxonomy places the organism in Eukaryota, Viridiplantae, Streptophyta, Magnoliopsida, Cornales, Cornaceae.
UGUUUUCCUCCCGUGAAUAUGAAAAUAAAAAUAAAAAAUAAAAAUCCUGCCCUCACUUAACGGGGAAAAAGCCACUCAUAGAUAAAUAUUUUUAAGGGAGUGUUUUCCUCCCGUGAAUAUGAAAAUAAAAAUAAAAAAUAAAAAUCCCUCCCUCACUUACGAAGGAAAAAGCCACUUGUAAAUAAAUAUAUUUUUAAGGGAGUAUUUUCCUCCCGUGAAUAUAAAAAUAAAAAUAAAAAAUAAAAAUCCCGCCCACACUUUUCGUCUCCCGCGUGCACAGAAGAGCAACCCGCCAAAAGCCUUUUUUUUUUUUUUUUUUCAUGUCACUAACACACAGACCACAAAAAGCCCUAAUCUUCUUUCUUUCCCAGCCAGUCUCUCAAAAUGCCCUAAUCUUCUUUCUUCCAUUAUUUCUGUUGAGGAGGCUGGAUCCCACCUUGUUGCUUACUAUGCCGACAACACCCAGCCAGUCUCUCCCCUGCUAAGGCUGCUAUCCAUCUCUCUCACACACACUUGACCAAGAAUCAAGUUCACUUCAAAGCUUGCAACAAACAGUAUUGUGACAUUCCUCUUCAACAAUGAAGCUAUGGAUGGUUUGACGCGGACAAAUGAGCUUGUUUUUGUUUUGGCAGCAACAAAUCUUCCUUGGGAACUAGAUGCUGCUAUGCUCCGAUGUCUUGAGAAGCGGGAUCUAUUUUAACCAGCUUAUUAGGAGCAUAACAAAACCAUUACUUUUGAAGUAAGAUUAGGAGCAUAGUUCUGGUUCUUAAUCUUCAUAUCUGGCAGGUAUGUUCUGAAUUCUACUAGCUAAUGAAGUUCAUUUAUCAAUUAUCUCUAUGUGAAGUCAUGGGUCCUUGUCGUGGCCAUUACUUUAAUGUUGAAAGCAUGGG